GUUGUUCUUGAAAACUAUAGUAGUGGAUGUCUUGGAACAUUUCUAACAGAGGAAAAGUACAGAGGAAAAAUCACAAGAAGUUCUGAUCAGAUGAAGCUGAAUAUGUUCUUCAGAGGUGACUGUACAGCCUGAGACAGCUGAGUGAAAAGAAUGACUGCCACAAAACAUCAUGAAUUAUAUUGGAGGUGGAAGGAGCAGAUGGUCCCAUGUAUGGAGCUGGCAGUUGGAUCUCUGGUCCUCCUCUGAUGGAUGCGAACCACAGCAAAAAGAUGGAACAAGUUGUUCACCUGCCAGAGGAACUGAGGGAGCUGACCUGGUUUCCCUCAGACUCAGCUGUAACUGUGAAGGAGAGAGAGGCACCGAGAGUAUGAGUUCGGUUGGCUGAGCCUUCACAAGCACUUAAUUCAUGUGAUGCAAACUUCACUACCUUCCAG
This 434-nucleotide long non-coding RNA is filed under the name Anas platyrhynchos platyrhynchos (common mallard). RNAcentral describes it as "lncRNA (ENSAPLG00000030341.1)". The record is from RNAcentral. Lineage: Eukaryota; Metazoa; Chordata; Aves; Anseriformes; Anatidae.